This is a long non-coding RNA of Mauremys reevesii (Reeves's turtle), 245 nucleotides long. RefSeq lists it as uncharacterized. The record is from RefSeq and is a predicted model, not a curated record. The transcript is spliced from 3 exons. NCBI's taxonomy places the organism in Eukaryota, Metazoa, Chordata, Testudines, Geoemydidae.
UAGCAGUUGUCAAGCUUUUUAUAUGCUGGGAACAGCGAACUGUGGCCACUGGCAGCUGUGAGGGGCUGUGCCUGAGGAAGAUCAAGGUUGACUUUUAUGUUUCAGUUUCAGCAUAAAUGGAUCAGCUGUUUUCAAGAAUGAGGUUAGAGAAAAUUAAUUGCACAGGAUAGACAGUGAAUGAGGCAGAAGUUUCUACAGUCAAGGUUGUUCUCUUAUGGUUAUGACACUGAACUGGAAGCCAGGUG